UGGGGAAUAUUGGACAAUGGGCGCAAGCCUGAUCCAGCCAUGCCGCGUGAGUGAUGAAGGCCUUAGGGUUGUAAAGCUCUUUUGUCCGGGAAGAUAAUGACGGUACCGGAAGAAUAAGCCCCGGCUAACUACGUG
This 135-nucleotide ribosomal RNA is filed under the name uncultured Beijerinckia sp. Its description in RNAcentral is "partial 16S ribosomal RNA". It matches the Rfam family "Bacterial small subunit ribosomal RNA", at positions 355 to 507 of the family's 1533-position model. The record is from RNAcentral. Lineage: Bacteria; Pseudomonadati; Pseudomonadota; Alphaproteobacteria; Hyphomicrobiales; Beijerinckiaceae.